This is a non-coding RNA of Phalacrocorax carbo (great cormorant), 1220 nucleotides long. The record is from RefSeq and is a predicted model, not a curated record. NCBI's taxonomy places the organism in Eukaryota, Metazoa, Chordata, Aves, Suliformes, Phalacrocoracidae.
UUUCAAGGGCGCAGAGCCAGCCCAGGAUGUGCUCGCUCCUUCCCACGCACCACACUCGGAGCAAGCCCCCAUGGUGGCUUGUCCCCACCGCCGGGGUUUGCACCGCUAACCAGAGUGGUGCCCCAAAACCGAUCGGGGUGCAAGGUCCUGGUGCUGGCAGGUGCCAGCUGGAUCCAGGGUUAUUGCAGAUGAGGAAGCAAGCAUUAGACAGUCCAUCUGUCCAUCUGUCAUCCCAUAGCUUUGGCAUAUUCUGUCUGGUUUCAGCCUGUUCGGAUGAAUAGGAUGAUACCCAUCACCCCAGAAGCUGGACCUGGAUCCUGCCCUCCCUCCUUUGCCAUCAUUAUUUGCCAGAUGUACCCUCCCAUCUUUCAGAGCAGGGCCCUGGUGAUACAGGAUGGUCCAGAGCUCCCUCUCCUCCAUCCCUGGCUGCCGAUGCUGCGGUGGGAGAGCAAUCAGGCUUCCCAUCGGGGGCCAGCCAGCCUCAGCACUUAUAUUGGAUUAUUUGCAGUCAUGAAGGGAGCGCAACAAGGGAAAUAAAGCUACACAAAGCUCCUGCUAAUUUAGACUUAUUUGCUCAAGUGAAUUUUCUAUUGGCAGGAUGUCUGCAUAUCAAAGGAGUCCCCGGUCACAGCCUCCCAAACACAGCGUCGUCAACGGUGGGGUAAUAGCUGCAAGAACAGUAAAAUAGCAAUAAUGUGAACAAUAAUCAAAUAUGGGUUACACAUGCAUUUAAACCAUGGCAAAAUGCACUGCCGUGGUGCAUUGGGAAGGUGUAAAUUAUAGCAAAAUGGAUUCCUGCAGAGACUCAAGCUCUUAAUUUUGCCCUUUGACUUCAGAAACAGACUUCCAAGAAGCAGGCUGGCUUAUACAUUGCUAGAAGAGAUUUCCAGCAGCAGGAUGUGUGGCACGCACCUUGGAAAUAGCCACAGAUUAGCAAACCUUUUCUGUUCCAGGAACUGCUCUUGCAAUAACCAGAACUGACCCAGGAGCUUCAUCAGGACGCAGACCCUUCCUACCAGUGGGAUUUGGUGAAGCUGCCCAAGCAAAGGAGCCCUUGGCCGCGUGGCGUGGAGCUGCAGCACAGCCAGGCUCAGCAGAUCUCGCAGGAGGCAGGCAGUUUCCUGACAUUACAGCUGGUUAAGUCCGUGCUCAUUCUCUCUUUGGGAGUUGUGUUAUGUCUUAGCAUUUCCCGCAGAUGAAUAAAUCAUGACGGAAAAGGC